GUGGGGAAUAUUGGACAAUGGGCGAAAGCCUGAUCCAGCCAUGCCGCGUGUGUGAAGAAGGUCUUCGGAUUGUAAAGCACUUUAAGUUGGGAGGAAGGGCAGUAAGUUAAUACCUUGCUGUUUUGACGUUACCGACAGAAUAAGCACCGGCUAACUUCGUGCCAGCAGCCGCGGUAAUACGAAGGGUGCAAGCGUUAAUCGGAAUUACUGGGCGUAAAGCGCGCGUAGGUGGUUUUGUAAGUUGGAGGUGAAAUCCCCGGGCGCAACCUGGGAACUGCCUCCAAAACUGAAUGACUAGAGUACGGUAGAGGGUAGUGGAAUUUCCUGUGUAGCGGUGAAAUGCGUAGAUAUAGGAAGGAACACCAGUGGCGAAGGCGACUACCUGGACUGAUACUGACACUGAGGUGCGAAAGCGUGGGGAGCAAACAGGAUUAGAUACCCGGGUAGUCC
RNAcentral lists this ribosomal RNA (450 nucleotides) under uncultured bacterium. RNAcentral's name for it is "partial 16S ribosomal RNA". It matches the Rfam family "Bacterial small subunit ribosomal RNA", at positions 354 to 796 of the family's 1533-position model. The record is from RNAcentral.